CUCUCGUUAGAUUGAAGAAGCUUGCUUCUGAUUGAUAACAUUUGAGUGAGUGGCGGACGGGUGAGUAACACGUGGGUAACCUGCCCUAAAGUGGGGGAUAACAUUUGGAAACAGAUGCUAAUACCGCAUAAAACCUAGCACCGCAUGGUGCAAGGUUGAAAGAUGGUUUCGGCUAUCACUUUAGGAUGGACCCGCGGUGCAUUAGUUAGUUGGUGAGGUAAAGGCUCACCAAGACCGUGAUGCAUAGCCGACCUGAGAGGGUAAUCGGCCACACUGGGACUGAGACACGGCCCAGACUCCUACGGGAGGCAGCAGUAGGGAAUCUUCCACAAUGGACGAAAGUCUGAUGGAGCAACGCCGCGUGAGUGAAGAAGGUUUUCGGAUCGUAAAACUCUGUUGUUGGAGAAGAACGUAUUUGAUAGUAACUGAUCAGGUAGUGACGGUAUCCAACCAGAAAGCCACGGCUAACUACGUGCCAGCAGCCGCGGUAAUACGUAGGUGGCAAGCGUUGUCCGGAUUUAUUGGGCGUAAAGCGAGCGCAGGCGGUUUCUUAAGUCUGAUGUGAAAGCCUUCGGCUCAACCGAAGAAGUGCAUCGGAAACUGGGAAACUUGAGUGCAGAAGAGGACAGUGGAACUCCAUGUGUAGCGGUGAAAUGCGUAGAUAUAUGGAAGAACACCAGUGGCGAAGGCGGCUGUCUGGUCUGUAACUGACGCUGAGGCUCGAAAGCAUG
Molecule: ribosomal RNA, 731 nt
Filed under: Latilactobacillus graminis
Lineage: Bacteria; Bacillati; Bacillota; Bacilli; Lactobacillales; Lactobacillaceae
Description: bacterial SSU rRNA
Rfam family: Bacterial small subunit ribosomal RNA
Source: RNAcentral